UACAGAGGGGGCAAGCGUUGUUCGGAAUUACUGGGCGUAAAGGGCGCGUAGGCGGCCUUCUAAGUCGAACGUGAAAUCCCCGGGCUCAACCCGGGAACUGCGUCCGAUACUGGAAGGCUUGAAUCCGGGAGAGGGAUGCGGAAUUCCGAGGUGUAGCGGUGAAAUGCGUAGAUAAUCUGGAGGAACACCGGUGGCGAAGGCGGC
Molecule: ribosomal RNA, 204 nt
Filed under: uncultured bacterium
Lineage: Bacteria
Description: partial 16S ribosomal RNA
Rfam family: Bacterial small subunit ribosomal RNA
Source: RNAcentral